Molecule: long non-coding RNA, 2964 nt
Filed under: Olea europaea subsp. europaea
Lineage: Eukaryota; Viridiplantae; Streptophyta; Magnoliopsida; Lamiales; Oleaceae
Source: RNAcentral
CGAAAAACCACAAUUCUCCCCCAAUCAGCACCUAAAAGAACAAGACUAUCAAAAUCUCCUCCACAUGCAUUGUCAGGACAUGUUGUCCUCUACCUCCUUCUCUUCCCCUCUUUCUUAUCCCAAAGACGUUAUCGUUAAAAUCAACGGCCAAGAUUCCUCAAAGAACCCACUAAAAUUAGCGAGAAUAAUUUUUGUUUUCUAUUGGUCUCAACUCUUCAGCUCCUAUUGCUGCUUUUGGAUUUGGAGAUUGAAACUCUUGUGGCAUCACUAGUGCUACAGGCAUAAGCAAAGUGAGAAGGUAUAGUAUACGAUGCGUUUGAUGAACCAUUCAUAAACGAAUUUACACAAAUAGCAUUAGUUAGGCUUCACUUUAGUCCUUUACUUGAAUAGCAUCAAUUAUGCCUUUUCUUUAUUUGUUUUACAUCAAAAUUCAAAAUUAUUUUGUUAUUUCACAAUUUGUUUUAAAUAGAGGCACAAAAUCAAAGAAAAUGAUUGGGAACAAACAUAAAUACAUUAGGUUAAUAUCAAUUUUGAUAUCAAUUUCUUUGAUUCGUCAAUUUCAAUAUAAAAUUUAAUAGUAUGGAUUGGGGUUUUUAGUCAUGUCAUUUUACUUAUUGAUAUCUAGGAAAUAGAUAAAUAUUUUAAUAAAUAGACAAGGAGGAUUAUAUUCACACCAAUUUUUAUUUUUCUAAAUACACCACAUAUUAGUUAUUUAUAUUUAGCCCUUAAAGAAUUCCCCACAUUUGGAUAAAAUUCAUUGUGUUUAAUGUCAUUUGUUAUUUGCAAAGAUGUCGGGCCCAAAUAGUGCUAGAAGUAUUGGAUUAGGACCAAUACGCGAGGAAGAUAGCACGAUUAGUAUACCGGUGAGCAAUGUGCCACAAGAAGAUCUAGUUAAACUGUUACCAAAUGGGAAUGAAAGGCCAAUAAACCUAAGUAACGAGGAGCUUAAUAUUGGAGAACUAUCUUUCGGAAAAAGGAAAUUGACUUAAGCUCUUUGGUAGCACUACAAAGGACAAAAAAAUUGGUAAGAAAUGGAGGGCUUUAUGUACUCAUUGCAAGAAAUAGUUAGGGAGUGACAAAAAAAUGGUACAAAGCAUUUGUAUGAUCAUUUGAAGAGAUUUGGAUUCCGUCAUCAGGAUAAUACUUGCCAAGCAACAUUAAAUUUCAAAAAGGAUGCCGCGAGUGGCGAGGUCAUAAUGGGUACUUACUCUUUCGAUCCAGAUAAGUGUAGGUAUAGUCUAGCAACAAUGGUGAUUUUGCAUGAGUAUUCUUUGUCUAUGGUUGAUCACAUUGGAUUUCAAGAGCUUUUGCACGACCAACAACCAUUGUUUAAGGUUCCUUUUCGCAACACUUUGAAGAGCGAAAAUUUGAAAAUCUAUGAAUACGAGAGAGCAAAAAAUAUAAUUGAACUUGAGAAGAUUGAGAGUCGAAUUUCAAUCACAAUCGACAUGUGGACCUCUUCUAACCAUAAGAAAUGAUUCAUGGUUAUCACUACUCAUUUCAUAGAUGAUGCUUGGAAACUAUAGAAUCGAAUCAUGAGGUACAGUAAAAAAUUACAUUCCCUUUUUUUCAUAAUUUACAAAAAUUAUAUUCUUAUAGUUGAUUUAAUUUGUUCUUGAAUGAAUUCAUGUUUAUAUAUGUUUCGUGCUCAUACUAUUGACGUCCUUUCAGAAACUCUAUUGUGUAACUUACUGGAUUAAAAUAUUGAUUGUAAGUUACUAACUUUGACCAUAGAUAAUUGCACCACAAAUGAUGCUAUGAUCAAUAUUGUGUUAAGUCAGCUUUGUACUUGUUCUUGUAUUGAAUGGUGAUUUUUUCUAUUUGAGGUGUUGUGCACACAUAUUAAAUCUUAUUGUGAAUGAUGGGUUGAAGAUUAUUAGUGGUAGUGUUGAAAAAAUCCAUGUAGUGUUGCUUAUUGGACAGCCACACCAAAGAGGUUUGAAAUUUUGAGUUCUUUGCACGUCAAUUGAAAAUUGAUUGUUAGAAAAAUUGGGGCUUGAUUAUAAAACAAUGUGAAAUUCUAUAUAUUUGAUGCUUCGUACUGCUUUGAUUUAUAAGGGUGUUUUUCCUCGUUUGAAACAGAGGGAGUCACAUUCUAAAUGUUUACCUAGUGAUGGUGAUUAGGAUUUGGCAAAAGAAAUAUGUGAGAAUUUAAAGGUCUUUUUCUAGGUUAUUAAAUUGUUUUCAGGAACAAAGUAUCCAAUUGCUAAUCUCUUAUUUGCAAAUAUUUGUGAUAGCAAAUUGUCGUUGUAUGAGUGAGUUGAAUCUCCUUAUGUGGAAGUUCAAAUGAUGAUGACCAGUAUGAUGAAAAAGUUUAACAAGUAUUGAAGCAAUAUUCAUGGAGUUUUGGCUUUAGCAGCAGUGUUGGAUCUAAUGUAUAAGAUGAUGUUAGUUAAAUAUUAUUAUCCUCGAUAUUGAAAAAAUUUAUCAAGUUUGUGGCAAGUUGGUGCACAAUUAUUAGAAAAAGAAUGAUUCAAGUACAUCUAAGCUCGGUCUUCUACUUCUUCUUGUCAAACCGAGACGUCAAGUGCUAACAAUAAAUUAGAUUGCAUGGUGGGUUUUUAUAGAUUUGUUCCCAAUGUUAGAGCUCCUAGCAAUGUGAAAACUGAGCUUGAUACUGUCUUGGAUGAGCCUAUAUUGCCUUGGUCGGAUGAUUUGAUAUAUUGACAUGGUGGAAAGUAAAUGCAAUCAAAUAUCUGACUUUAUAUCAAAUUGCAAAAGAUAUUUUGACUAUCCCAGUAUCUACCGAGGUGCUCGAAUCUGCCUUCAAUGCUAAUAGUAGAUUUGUUAGUCCACACAAAAAUAGGCUUCACCCUAAAAUUUUGGAGGUUUUAAUGUGUACUCUCAAGAUUGGUUAUAGGCCAAUAUCCACGGUAUGAUGUAUAUAAACAUUUGCUUUUCAUAUUGUUCCUUUAUGAAUUCUUUUAUUACUAAUUAUUUUACUUUAGUAAUAACGAAUUCUGC